This is a non-coding RNA of Coffea arabica (coffee), 1286 nucleotides long. NCBI's taxonomy places the organism in Eukaryota, Viridiplantae, Streptophyta, Magnoliopsida, Gentianales, Rubiaceae. The record is from RefSeq and is a predicted model, not a curated record.
CCAAUAAUUCGAAAGAAACCAACAAAUACCUUAUCGCAUGGAUUAUUGAUUUUUUCUUGGAUGCUGAUUCUCUUGGUUUUCAAUUCUCAGUGGCAAUUUGAUGGUUUUUUUGACCAUUCCAUUCCAGGUCUGCCCAAUAUGUGCAGCAACUAAGAAAAGAUGCAAUUGGGCAUUUCAUAAAUGCAGCAUGCUCAAUCUUUGAAGGAAUUCUGGAGUGUUGCCUCAGCAACAGUAGCAAGCACUGCUGGAAUUACCACCAUUUCUUGGUGCAGAUUCAUGAAACCUGCUCCAUAGCCACUUGAUCAACAGUUCUUUGUUCAAAACCUUUUUCAGAUCCUAAAGACCACACAAAAGAUGCAUCUUCUGGUUAUGCUAUCUCAACUGCUAAGGAGAUAGGAAAAAGAAUCCAAGUAAAAAUGGUCAGCUAAAGCUGGAACAUAUGGAAACGGUAGAAGGCACUUGUUGUCAAUGAAACUUUACUAACCAGCAACACUAUGAGAAAGAAAGUCACUGGAACAUUUAAAUAUGACAGAGUGAACUGGAAUGAAGGACAGCUAAUGAUGCUUAUCAAAUUGAAGCCAGUGGUGGUGGUGGUGGUGGUGAUUCUGAUGGGCGGAGGAGAAGGACAGGUGGUGGUGGUGGAUGGUGAGGGCUGCGGAUGGUGGUGGUUGUGAUGAUGAUGGUGGAGAAUAUACAGGAAGUGGUAUGGUUGACAUCUUUCCGAUUUAGGGAAGUGUUAGUGAGAUUGAAACUUAUGAACGCAUGAGGAACCAUCCUGAGCAUGCUUUGCCAUUCCAGAAAAUAUUCCUCUCAAAAAAAUUUUUUGUGGGUCUGCCCAGUUACAGGUUCACAAUCCCUUCACGCGUAUAAGUCAGUACGCUGCUCAGAUUUCAUUUCUACAGGGUGCAAAUCUUCUGCAUAACCUCUUGUAUGCUGUAACUUAUUGUUUUCAUUAAACUUACGUAAUGGGGAUAAGGCGGAGCAGCUACUGAAUUCCAACACUAAAAGCCAUACGAUAUUCCUCUGAUUGUAGUGGAUCCAUUUUGUUAAUAAUGCUCGAGUUUCUUGUCUGACUUCCAGUGGAUAUUACAGAAUGCGUCCACCACAGAUUGAGGGGAAGUUUACUGCUCAUCUCAAUUGAUUAGAUGAAAGGAAUUAUAUGCAGGUGGAAGAUAGAGAUGGGAAAGUUGUAAACUGGUUGGUGUGCUGUAUUGAUACUUGAUAGUACGUUGUACAGAAAGAUCGAGGAAGGAAUUGAGGGGAAGCAGUAGGUUUGUAUUUGCAAA